RNAcentral lists this ribosomal RNA (531 nucleotides) under Escherichia coli. RNAcentral's name for it is "partial 23S ribosomal RNA". It matches the Rfam family "Bacterial large subunit ribosomal RNA", at positions 500 to 1033 of the family's 2925-position model. The record is from RNAcentral. Lineage: Bacteria; Pseudomonadati; Pseudomonadota; Gammaproteobacteria; Enterobacterales; Enterobacteriaceae.
ACCGUGAGGGAAAGCUGAAAAGCACACCGGAAGGGGAGUGAAAGAGAUACAGAAACCGUGUGCCUACAACAAGUCAAAGCUCGUAAUGAGAGAUGGCGUGCCUGUGAGAGAAUGAACCGGCGAAUUACGAUUGCAUGCGAGGAUAAGUCGAAGAGACGGAGCCGCAGCGAAAGCGAGUCUGAAUAGGGCGAAUUAGUAUGUAGUCGUAGACCCGAAACCAGGUGAUCUACCCUUGGUCAGGUUGAAGUUCAGGUAACACUGAAUGGAGGACCGAAACGACUUACGUUGAAAAGUGAGCGAAUGAACGGAGGGUAACGGAGAAAUUCCAAUCGAACCUGGAGAUAGCUGGUUCUCUCCGAAAUAGCUUUAGGGCUAGCCUCAAGUGAUGAUUAUUGGAGGUAGAGCACUGUUUGGACGAGGGGCCCCUCUCGGGUUACCGAAUUCAGACAAACUCCGAAUGCCAAUUAAUUUAACUUGGGAGUCAGAACAUGGGUGAUAAGGUCCGUGUUCGAAAGGGAAACAGCCCAGACC